ACCAGCGGAGGGAUCAUUACCGAGUUUACAACUCCCAAACCCAAUGUGAACGUUACCAAACUGUUGCCUCGGCGGGGUCACGCCCCGGGUGCGUCGCAGCCCCGGAACCAGGCGCCCGCCGGAGGAACCAACCAAACUCUUUCUGUAGUCCCCUCGCGGACGUAUUUCUUACAGCUCUGAGCAAAAAUUCAAAAUGAAUCAAAACUUUCAACAACGGAUCUCUUGGUUCUGGCAUCGAUGAAGAACGCAGCGAAAUGCGAUAAGUAAUGUGAAUUGCAGAAUUCAGUGAAUCAUCGAAUCUUUGAACGCACAUUGCGCCCGCCAGUAUUCUGGCGGGCAUGCCUGUCCGAGCGUCAUUUCAACCCUCGAACCCCUCCGGGGGAUCGGCGUUGGGGAUCGGGACCCCUCACACGGGUGCCGGCCCCGAAAUACAGUGGCGGUCUCGCCGCAGCCUCUCCUGCGCAGUAGUUUGCACAACUCGCACCGGGAGCGCGGCGCGUCCACGUCCGUAAAACACCCAACUUUCUGAAAUGUUGACCUCGGAUCAGGUAGGAAUACCCGCUGAACUUAAGCAUAUCAAUAAGCGGGAGGAAA
Molecule: ribosomal RNA, 594 nt
Filed under: Trichoderma sp. TV117
Lineage: Eukaryota; Fungi; Ascomycota; Sordariomycetes; Hypocreales; Hypocreaceae
Description: eukaryotic LSU rRNA
Rfam family: 5.8S ribosomal RNA (bases 203-356)
Source: RNAcentral